AAAAAGAAUCAUCUACCAUGGACUUUUGGCAUCUAUAUUUUAAAGUUUCAGUUACCUUUUGUAACUACUGUCUUUUUUUUUUACCCUCCUAUCUGUCUGGAUUUUAAUUCUACCCAUUGAUAUCUUUUCUUUUGGGUGAUGAAAGCACAGACACUGGAUUUUAGACUAGAAUAUGGCCUCCAAGUCUUAGUUUGUGGGUAGCCUUCAGAAAGUUACUUAUCCCCCUUUGGCACUGAUAUUUCUCUUUAAAAUUGAUGUAUUACUGCUAACCUUAUUUAAUUACUAGGAAGACUAAAAAAGAUAUCAGCGCAACAUAUGUCCUGCACAGGGCCUUCCACUUAGCACAACCUCUCUCCCUUCCUCUAUCAGCUGCUGUAAUGAUGACCAAAUCAGGAAAUUCUGGUCCUAACCCCACUGUAUAUCUUAGGAGGUUCAAUCAGCUGAAGUUGGUGCUGGUGUGUCUACCCUAGCAGGUUGCUGAGCAACCCACAGUGAGUUGUAGCAGCCCUGAAAACAGUUUGCAUCAACAAGGCUUCAAUGAUCACAGACAAACACAAGCAUUUACUAAAGCUGAAGGGACAGCAAAUUGCUAGAGUGCUUUCCCAACCCCUUUGCAUUUAUGAUUUCUUUUCUGAGAAUGAUAUAUGAUCCAAUUACAGAGUUCACGAAAGCAUUAGGGAGUUCAUGAAAAGCAAAGGCUUAUACUAAACAUACUAAACAGCUUGUCCUUUGACCAUCACUGAUGGUGGAACCAGCUUCAGCUAUUUUGCUAUCACAGAUUCUAGCCAAAUGAGGGGUAUAAUGGGCUUGAUUCUGACGUACAGCAAACUACAUCAGUUCUGCAUUUCUACCUGGUCACAACCACCUGCAGCUGAAUAGUUGUGCUCUCCCUACACUGGUCUUGGGCUGGAGUCUCAAGUUCCCGGCCAGUGGACUUCACAUAUAUAAGUUACCUGCUUGGCUGCAAAAGGCAACUGAGGUUUUGUGUCAGAGCCAAAUACUUCUGCAGGAGAAUUCAAGAUGGUCAAAUAAGUGGAAGGAAGUUUGUGGAAUGAAACUGUUAUGUCAUUGCACAUUUUCAGAGUCUAUCAGUGUCUGUGGGCAAUUAAUUCUCUUGGAUAUGACACUUAAAUAUGUAAAAGCAUCCCCACAGUUGUUUCUGGCAUUUGUUUCUUAUUCACUGCUAAAU
Molecule: long non-coding RNA, 1189 nt
Filed under: Homo sapiens (human)
Lineage: Eukaryota; Metazoa; Chordata; Mammalia; Primates; Hominidae
Description: HSALNT0008380
Source: RNAcentral